This 9274-nucleotide long non-coding RNA is filed under the name Eucalyptus grandis. RNAcentral describes it as "long non-coding RNA (EGRA_LNC005261)". Lineage: Eukaryota; Viridiplantae; Streptophyta; Magnoliopsida; Myrtales; Myrtaceae. The record is from RNAcentral.
AUCACGGAAACAUCUCUUUCAGCUGUUUUAGCUAAGUUGACAAAAGAAUGUCGGAGAAGUUUUACAUCUCAGGUGCUUUCUGCCCUUGAAGAUCGUGAGAAAAGGGAAAUGGAAGCAAUUGAGAGAGAUCUUCAUGCAGCAGAUGAUGCCUCAGUAUCUUUACCUGGUAGGCAAAGUGGGGACAAGGAAUGGCGCAUCUCGAGAUCAGAGAUUGGUCCGGAUGACAAUGGCUCUUUUAGUAGCUCUUCUUGCCCAGUUCGUGUUUGCUUUGAUGAGCAUGUAACGAAAAUCUAUGAUGCAUUUUCUCCUAUCCUCUCUCUCUUAGCAGACAACUCUGUUGCUAAGCUUAGAGCUCUCGAAGUUUUUGAGACUUUUAGGGAACUUUUAGAAAAGAUGAGGAAAUCACCCUUCAAAACAAGGAGAGUGUCACUUGAUUCAGCUUCAAUUGGGACACCACCAUUUGUGCAUCAGUUGCUUCCUUCCUUCAGCGAGUUACUUAAUGCACUCUCUCUGAAGUGUGAACACGUGGACGGGAAAAUUGACAUAUCUCUGGCUGGUGACCCUGUAAAAACCUCGCUAGCAUUACCUGUAGUUCUGGAUGCUUUGGAUGACGUGAUCCAUAACCUUAGACAGAGUGAUCAUUUCGGUAGUGAUGUUCUGUCCUUUCCACUGUUGAAAUCUAAUAGAAUCCACUCUGGUUCGGUUCUUGCAAGUGGUGAGGAACUUCCUCUUGGAAUUGUAAGUAGUGUUUUGCUCUUUGACCUUGUAAGCUCCCUUCACAGUUCUACUCGUCGUACCUCAAUGUUAUAUUCUGAUGACUUUCAGGCCACAGCAGCAUUUGAUGGUACUCGUGAGACCAAAUGGGAGGAACCAAAUGGGGGUCGAGGUAAAAUGACCUUAUCUAUGAGAGUUGUAGGAUUUUUUUUUCAUUUGGCACUCUGAUGAAGAGAUCAUGGUGAAAGCAUGAUGGAUCACCAACGAAUUUUGUAUGGUUGCUGUAUCCUGUGUAUGUUCUUCCCAACCGUUAGUUUGUGUUUUCAUUUGUUAGUUACUGAAAUUAGUGUUGCAGGUUGUUGGAUCAUGUAUAAAGUACCGGAUGGCCAGAUGAGAGAGCUUGUGGCUUACGAGUUGAUGUCUGCCAAUGACGUUCCAGAAAGAGAUCCUAUGAAUUGGUGCGCUUCCUUCUGCAUAGUCCUCUGUUGGCGUGUGGAUUCUAUUGUUCAUGUUGUUUACCUAACUUUAAAAGUAUACUUCUGUUAUUGCUAAAACCAUGCGUGAUGUUCAUAAACCGUUUAGUCAACAAAAUUCAUCUGGUUUUCGUGAUUCCCUAGCAGUCUGAUUGCAUAUCAUAUUCCUAUGAGCUUAAGAUGCAUCAAGGAAUGUAUCGAUCUUGUUUCGGUCAUUGAUCAUCAGACCAUUGAAUCAUAUGUUCAGAGAUAGUCAAUUCCUUAUUCCUUCUGGCAUUGAUGCCCUAAAUAUAGGUUAGAAGAAUCACAUUUAAACGAAUUGCUACAUUUCGGUCACUUCUCAGGGUCCUGGAGGGAAGCAGCGAUGGCGGAUCCAGCUGGCAUAUAUUGGAUGAACAGACUUCCCAGCUGUUUAACAACCGUUUCGAGCGCAGGACUUUCAAAAUUAAAACGAAAGUGCCCCCAUCCAAUGCUUUCAGGUACAGUGUCAACCCAAGAUUUUUUUUUUCCCCAUAGUUUGAAAGUUAGAUCUGAUCAAUCGUUCACUUGAGGUUACAUAUCGCAGGUUUAGGUUUCUCGCAGUUCGAGAUGUUCAAUCAAACUCGCGGCUGCAGUUAGGAAGCAUCGACCUUUAUGCAAGCUGCAACUGACGCACCCAAACCCAAGCCAACCGGGGCGGUUUCAAUAUAUUGCAGUAGCCAACCCGCGUCGGAACAAAUGAGAGAGAUAAAAGUAAAAUUGUCAUAAUUCUAAAAGCUCAAACUAUUCCUGAAGAGAAAUGGUGCCUGCAUUGUUCCAUUCCCUUCCCCUCCCCAGAGACUGCUACAUGUAUCGCCUGAUAGGACAGGACCAGGCAUUGAACUGCUACGUAUUCUGAAUUUGACUCUUUGGUACGUUGUUAGUUGCCUAUUGCCAGACGUGGAUUGGAAAAGGAAUUAGCGAAGAAAUUCAGCUGAGUCAAAAGCUCAUUUGCAAUCUUGAACCACAGUUGCUACUGAUCGUAACACUUUGAACAGCUCGAGCCUGCCGACUUUGGAUCUACUCGUCGUCGAGCCAUUGAUUUAAUAACAAAGAAAGGAUGGAAAAAUCAACAUUCCCUCAUUGUUUAAUGAUUCUUUCCACGCAAAAUCAUUUGUCCAAAUCAGAUGUUUAUGCAGCAGAAGCAGCUACCGAAACGACACUCUCUCACCUAACCUUAAUCGCACCAAAAACCUUAAAUUUCUCAAAUUUCUCAGACAGACAAAUCUAAGUACAGAACAAACCAACUCUAACCGCCCACCAUCCUCCGUUCCCCCUGAAAAUGGCCUCUGCUGCUGCCGCCUCCUCCGUAUCUUCCUUCUCUGCCACUUCCUGCCAUGGUGGCCGUCUCACCCUGCAUGCCCCCGGCACCCUCGACCUGUGCGCCCCUUCCUCAACUCCAAAGCCCCUCUCCAUCAGAGCCCUCUCUGCCCCAUCCCCAUCCCCAUCCCCCGCCCUCACCCCGGACGACCUCAAGAAAAUCGCGGCCAACAAUGUGUACUUUGGAGCUGCUCUUUGUUCUCCUAGCCAUCACAGGACUUGCGGUCGAGCCUUCCUUCUCAUGUUCUAAUGCUGUUUGUAAUGCUUGCGAGACCUCGUCAAUGCACUUAAUUCAUUGGCUUUGCGACUGAUCAAACUGUUAAUGCCACGCUACGAGGUCUUUGUCAAGUCAAGACUUUAUUCCAAUUCAACCAAGAGAAACUUUCAUUCUUUACUUCAAGCAGAAGGAGCCACUUUAUGAAAAUUAAAUGCAAAGAACCGAUGCUUUAUCCAUUUCCAGGGACAUCAAAACAGACGCGGACAGAUUACUUCUUUCCCAUGUAUUCUGACAAGCAUAAAGUUAAAUCUGAGCGGCAAACGACAAUAGCUGUUUCCUAAGACAAAAUACCGUAUAAGCAAUUCUCUGUCUCCUUUCCUUUUCCUUAGCAGAACCAAUGACUAACCAUGAGACUUGAAAAGAGUGGCCAAAGGAAAUGAUGCAAGGGACAGGAGCAGAAAACACGGUCGUUUGUAGGUUUGGCCUGCUCAAUUCUCAUGCACCAACCCCAUUCUUCUGACCCACUGGCUUCUCCUCAUUUGCAUCUUCUGUCCCAGCAACACAAUUUGAAGUGAACCUCAUGAGCUUUUACGUGAUGGAAGCCAUCCAAUGCUUCACUCAAGCCCUUGGGAAGCUACUGAGGAGGGUAAGAGCUUUUGAGCCACAUAAGCUCAUUUCAAAUGAGCACUUAUUCAUCUUCUGCAUCUUCUUCUGUGAACACAAUUCAAUACCAACAAAGCCAAUCCUCACGAAUUAACUUGCGAAAAGCAAAGAACCCAUGAUUCAUCACAGCCAAUCUCGUAGUAUUUGAUAUGCCCAUUUCUCUAUCGCGAAGAUCAUAAAUAUCUCUUUUUUUUUCGAAUAAAUUAAUUGAAAUUUAAUCAUUAGAUGAAAAGAGAAAGGAAUGAAAUGUCAAUUUUACUUUCCUUUUUUUUGUUUCGGGCUUCCAGUGUUCAUGCUUCAAGUGUUCAUGUGCUGUGGAGUGAGGAGGACCUGGGGGCGCUCUCAGGUCAAUGUCAAGUCAACCGUUGUCUUGAACCCAAACGCAUUCCACGAACUCGUUUUUGGUCAUUCAUCAUCAGCAUCAUCAUUAUCAUCCAUUCUGCGAUACCUUCCUGUACGGAGAUCUGAGCUCAGAGAGAGAGAGAGAUGGUGGCGCGGAGGUUCCAGGUCCGCCACGACGGCUCCGACUACGAAGUCGACUACGACACCGACGACGGCCUCGAAGUCUCUCUCUCUCUUUCUCUCUCUCUCUCUCUCUCUCUCAUUCUUGCUGCAGCUAAGGCCUUCGCCUCUCCGUUUUUGCAGGUGUUCAGAUACCAGCUCUUCUCCCUCACUGCGAUCCCUCCCGACGAGCAAAGGGUUCAUCUCUCUCUCUCUCGCCGAAUCGUCCCGAAAAAUCGUUGCUUUUUUAGCUGGGUCAGUGCAUUGGGUUAGGGAAUUGAGGUGCGAUCGCGGCUGAUCAUUCGGUUUUGUUUCUUCUUCUUUUUUGCUGUUGUUGCCUUCGUCAGAUCGUCGCGGACGGUGACGAUCGGGUCGUCUCCGAGGACUCCGAUCUCGCCGCGGUAGCCGGCAAGCUCCGGCUCGUGUCGAUCGAUGAGGAAGGGGAGAGGGCGGCGGACCAGCGCGCCGGCGGCAGCAGCAGCGCCGAAUUGCUCAAGUCGGAUGAGGAGCUGGCUCGAUUGCUGCAGGUAGGAUUCGAUAUUUGUUGGAUCGCGGGCAUCACCUGAAGUUUGCUGAAAAUUGGCGCGGGCGACUUGUGCUUUUCGUUUGAGAAAUUUAUCCGCCGCUCCAAUUUUAAUAUUCUUAUCAGAUAGUUGUGAAGUUUCAAUUUUCUUUCGUUCUUUUAGGCGGAAGAGGAAGCACUGCUGUUGCAGCAGUUUGUCGUGCACGAUAAUAGUGCUCACAUGGAGAAAAGAUUGAGGCCUUACAUUGCUCAAGUUCGCGGGGUAAUAAUAUUCUCUGUCUGUACUUCUUUUUCUCUCGUCCGUAUCGGUGAGAACGAUAUUAGCCGCUUGACUGAAUCAAUGCUGUGAAAUUUAGUAUGAGGAUCCUAGAGCCCAAGAGGCUGCUCGGAAGACUGUACCUGUAGACGAGCUUGAGGAGAAGGCAUUGUUAUCUCUGGCCAAGGUGAGAGGGGUAGUGUGGUUUUGCUUUGACCUCAUGUUACCUUUGAGAACCUGCAGUGUAAUUUUGCUUACCGUCAAGGACCAAUUUGCUGAUGUUUUCUCUUGCAAACAAUGAGCAUUUUUGUUGCUUUGGCCAUUCAUGAGUGUAAAUUAACAUAUGGUCAGGUGGGGAACUUCAAACCAUCCAAAAGUGAACAGGAUCAUGCUUUCUUAAUACAGCUGCUUUACUGGUUCAAGCGUUCAUUCAGGUGCUUUUAAUGGUUGUCCAUUGCAUUUUUCUGCUUAGUUCUUCUAAAUUCUAGAUAGUGUAUAUCUUCUGCAGUGAUUGCUGAUAUGCGACCGCAGCUGAAGAGUUUUUUCAUCAUUUCAUGCUUACAUCACCUAUUUUUAUUAUAGUGCAACAGUUUUUUGAAGUAUUCCUACUACUGGGCUUUUCAUAUUCAUCUGCUUCGUGGGUAGAUAACUUCUUCCAGCUAUUCAUUUAACAUACAGGGAAGUGCUCAUGAUACAUAUAUGGAUAGAGUUCAUGGUAGAAGUCUUGUUUUUUCAUGGGUUUUAAUUUAGGACCUCAUAGUCAUCUUGAUCAGCACUGAGGAUCUAGAUGUCAUUAUUGGAUGCUUAAGUGGAAGCAGUCCUCUCGGAAAAAUCAGACAUCAUACUCUAAAUGUCACCCGUGUUGCACUAUGAAAAUCCCAGUUAUAUUAACCAGAGCAUGCUUUGCACCUUUGUUUGAUAUGAGGUUUAAAUUCUGAUUCAGGACUGCAGGAUGGCAACUUUGCUUUUUACACUUGCCGUGCUUAAGCAAAUAGUUGUUUAGUGAUCUUUAUAGGAGCAUGAUGGGCGGACAUGACGGUUGAAAAGGGAAAGUUUUAUCAUUUAAGGCACUAUAUGUCAGAGUUAGGAAUAAUCAUCUUAAGACAGGUAGAAAAAUUGGAGGCUGAAAAAAUAAGAGGGGGAAAUAAUGACAUCGUUUACUAUGUAAAUCUUUUGAAUACUUACCUUUAUAACAUGGUUCAUAAUGAUGAAAGGUGCAAAAGAGGAAUUUCGUGUUCCUUAAAGUACCAUGAAUAAAUUACUAACCUGUGUCCUUAUAUCCUUGUUGCCUGUACAAAUUUAAUAUCUAAACUGGAAUAUAAGAGGGGUCUGAACUCAUCUAUUUUUGCAGCUGGGUUAAUGCUCCUCCUUGCGAAGGAUGUGGUGGUGAAACUGUAGGUCAAGGCAUGGGCAGGCCGCUUCCUUCCGAACUUCUUCAUGGCGGUUCUCGCGUUGAAAUUUACUGGUAGGAAAAGAUUACUAUCUUAUUCCCAUCUAAUUAGCUCCCAUUCCCCUAAAAAAAAAAUUAAGAAGAAAAACCUUCCCUGUUUAAUUUCAUCAUGCAGCCAACUCUGGAUUUUAUUCAAAAUUUAGACUUGUGCUUUCCUGAAAUACGCUGUUCUCUUGGCAACCUUAUGUACAUAUUAUAUGGCUGGGGAAUUAGUUCAUCUGCAUUUUUAUAGUAACUCAUAGAGGAGUACAUAUUCUCCAGGGGAAAUAAGCAAAAGCAUUCUCUAAGUAACAAGAGGUUAUUGCUAUUUAAGAAGCAGAUAUUUGUUUAGGAGGAGAAGGAAAAGAAUAAUAUCAUGGUUGAAGAUUAUCUGCUGGAGCAUAUACCAUAAGAAUAUCACAUCUAUCUUAACUUCUGUACGGCACUCACGUGCAUGUCAUAACUUCUAAAAGACGUAAACUUGAGUGCCAUAACUUCUAUUCAAUCACUAAAUGCAAUGAGUUCUUUAAAAAAAAAAAAUGUUCGAGUGCCAUAGCUUUUUAAAAAACUUUUACUCCAUGUACCGAAAAUCUGUCGUGGCAUGGUACUUGUAAUGAAUGUUUUUUAAAAGUUGUGACACUCAAGUAAUCAUUUUUAGAAUUCGUGGCACUUAAGUGAACGUCUUUUGAGAAAUCAUGGCACUUAAGUGACCCAAAAAAAAAAAAAUUUAUGGCACUUAAGUGAGUGUCGUAUGAAAGGUAUGACACCUGUUGUGUCCUUAUCUAGUUUUCAAAACUUGGAAGUUUUUAACAUAAAAAAAUUGACUCAUGCAAAAUCCUAGGAACUAGGAAGGCAAAAAAAUAUGUUGGACUUGGAGUACAUCAAAGUUUGAAUGUCAAACCCCAUAUUCAGGAAUAACCAUUGGCAUAGUGUGAUGGCCUGCUAGCAUUUUGAAUAUUGGAGAAGUGCUUAUCCAGUCCGCUACCUUCUUAUAAGCACAUUUCCUUCAGGAAAAGAAAAGGAAAGAACCAAAAAAAAAAAAUUGUAAGAUUUGAAUUCAAGAUGUUUGUUUGUAGCUAUCUGGAUAACAAAAGUAAUUAAAGCAAAUUAACUUGGUGAAUAUAUUAGUUGUUAUGCUUGGCUUUAUGGUUCCCUUUGCUAAACUGGCCUUUCUUAUUCUUUUCACUGUCUUUUGCCAAUUCUAGCUGCACACGCUGCUCAAGGAUCACACGCUUUCCGAGAUACAACGAUCCAGUGAAGGUAUUUUGGUUUUGUAACCUCAACAGAAAUUAGUUCUUUGGCGUCCUCCCUUUUCCCAUGAGAGAAUAUUGUACUCUACAGACAACUAAUUUUUUGCCUCUUUUUCUAUUGGAAGCUCUUAGAGACAAGAAGAGGCCGUUGUGGGGAGUGGGCAAACUGCUUUACAUUAUACUGUCGUGCUUUGGGUUAUGAAACCCGUCUGGUUAGUUCUUUUUUUUUUUUUUUUUUUUUUUUUUGCCUUAAUCCUUCAGGCUUCAUGAUACGGUGGGUCUAAACUUUGCAAUUUCUUCUUUAUUUCCAAAUAAGAAAUUAAUCUGCCAAAAUGUAUACUUAGUCUUCAAAUAUAUAGGAUUGAUUGCAUGUUAUGUUAUUUGGUGCAGCAAAUGUACUUGGUAUGGGUCUCGUGAUAAAUUUGAAUAGAAAAAAUUGGUUUGAGUAUGAAUUUACGUGAAUUAAACCUUAAGUUGUUUGCUUUGCCAUUACAUGCUCUGGGUGGAUCAUCUACAAGAUAAUAUUAUGUUAAGGCACACUUUGUUGUGUUUUGUAUCAGCCAAUUAGCCUCAAUAUGAACUUGCACGAAUUAAAGCUUAGAUCACUUAUUUUGCCAUUUCAUAUUUGUGGUCGCGUCACUAUCUCCGAAAUGAUAAUGUGUCAAGGCACUCUUUCUUCUAUUAUGUAUUGUGUCAUAUGAGGUCUUAAUGGCUCUUCCCCCUCCACUGUCUCUUGUUCUUGUGUAGGUUUUAGAUCUCAAUGAUCAUGUGUGGACAGAGUGCUUUUCGGUACAUCUGGGAAGGUAGAAACAUCAUUAAUAUUCUGCAACUCGUUCACACUCUCUGUGAAGUAUGAUUUUUAAUCAACAAUCACAAGUAUUUCCUAUUGUGCAUGAUUGUGCAGAUGGAUGCAUCUUGAUCCUUGUGAAGGAGUUUAUGACGAACCUUUGUUAUAUGAAAAGGGGUAACGCAGUUUGAUUCCCCUUUGAUUGUGACUUAUUCUAAAAUGUUUGAGAGAACUACUUUUGCUUUCCAAUAUUGAGAGAACUACUUUUGCUUUCCAUUCUUAAUAUGCUAGGUGGAAUAAGCAAAUGAAUUAUGCAUUUGGGAUAGCAAAAGACGGAAUCUAUGAUGUCACAAAACGCUACACAAGGAAGUGGCAUGAGGUAAUUUAUCUUUUCAGCAGCAUAUGGUCCUAACUGGGAGUUUCACCAACAUCCACAGUAGAUUUUGUUUUUCUGCUUGUAGAUUUUCACCAACAUAAGAUUUAUACUUAUAUGUUGUGUUAUGGUAUGGAAAGACAGAUUCUCGAAGUAACCUUUAAAUAAUAGCACAUCACCUGAAAAUAGAUGGGUCGUUGAUAUUUAUUUUGCAAGUAACUUGUCAUGACCCUUGAGGGGGUAACUUGAGUUGAGUAAUUGAGAGAAUCCGAUAGAUUGUGCCAAAUUAUUUCUUUCUUGGUUUAACAUGCAGGUUUUAACACGGCGAAACUUGAUCACGGAAACAUCUCUUUCAGCUGUUUUAGCUAAGUUGACAAAAGAAUGUCGGAGAAGUUUUACAUCUCAGGUGCUUUCUGCCCUUGAAGAUCGUGAGAAAAGGGAAAUGGAAGCAAUGAGAGAGAUCUCAUGCAGCAGGCGAUGCCUCGGUAUCUUUACUGGUAGGCAAAGUGGGGACAAGGAAUGGCGCAUCUCGAGAUCAGAGAUUGGUCCGGAUGACAAUGGCUCUUUGAGUUGCUCUUCUUGCCCAGUUCGUGUUUGCUUUGAUGAGCAUGUAACAAAAAUCUAUGAUGCAUUUUCUCCUAUCCUCUCUCUCUUAGCAGACAACUCUGUUGCUAAGCUUAGAGCUCUCAAAGUUUUUGAGACUUUUAGGGAACUUUUAGAAAAGACGAGGAAAUCACCCUUCAAAACAAG